UUUCGGUUCUAUUUUGUUGGUUUCUAGAACUGAAAUAAUGAUUAAUAGGGACAAUUGGGGGCAUUUGUAUCAACAAGUCAGAGGUGGAAUUCUUGGAUUUUGUUGCGACAAACUACUGCGAAAGCAUUUGCCAAGGAUGUUUUCAUUGAUCAAGAACGAAAGUUAGGGGAUCGAAGACACUUAGAUACCGUCGUAGUCUUAACCAUAAACUAUGCCAACUAGAGAUGGGACAUCGUUCACUUACGACUUGUUCCGCACCUUAUGAGAUAUCACAGUUUUUGGGUUCCGGGGGGAGUAUUGUCGCAAGUCAGAAACUUAAAGGAAUUGACGGAAGGGCACCACCAGGAGUGGAGCCUGCGGCUUAAUUUGACUCAACACGGGGAAACUCACCAGGUCCAGACAUAAUAAGGAUUGACAGAUUGAUAGCUCUUUCUUGAUUUUAUGGGUGGUGGUGCAUGGUCGUUCUUAGUUCGUGGAGUGAUUUGUCUGCUUAAUUGCGUUAACGAACGAGACCUUAACCUGCUAAAUAGAAUCGCAUAUCUUCGGAUAAGCGGCUUUCUUCUUAGAGGGACUGUCUGCGUUUCAGCAGGCGGAAGUUUGAGGCUAAAACAGGUCUGUGAUGCCCUUCGAUGUACUGGGCUGCACGCGCGCUACACUGAUGCGUUCAACGAGUGUACAACCUUGCCCGAUAGGGUUGGGUAACCUUUUGAACACGCAUCGUGCUGGGGAUAGAUUAUUGCAAUUA
RNAcentral lists this ribosomal RNA (745 nucleotides) under uncultured Syndiniales. RNAcentral's name for it is "SSU rRNA". It matches the Rfam family "Eukaryotic small subunit ribosomal RNA", at positions 828 to 1592 of the family's 1831-position model. The record is from RNAcentral. Lineage: Eukaryota; Dinophyceae; Syndiniales.